CCUACGGGUGGCUGCAGUGGGGAAUAUUGGACAAUGGGGGGAACCCUGAUCCAGCCAUGCCGCGUGUGUGAAGAAGGCCCUCGGGUUGUAAAGCACUUUCAGUGAGGAAGAACGCCUGGUGGUUAAUACCCAUCAGGAAAGACAUCACUCACAGAAGAAGCAACGGCUAACUCCGUGCCAGCAGCCGCGGUAAUACGGAGGGUGCGAGCGUUAAUCGGAAUUACUGGGCGUAAAGCGCGCGUAGGUGGCUUGAUAAGCCGGUUGUGAAAGCCCCGGGCUCAACCUGGGAACGGCAUCCGGAACUGUCAAGCUAGAGUGCAGGAGAGGAAGGUAGAAUUCCCGGUGUAGCGGUGAAAUGCGUAGAGAUCGGGAGGAAUACCAGUGGCGAAGGCGGCCUUCUGGACUGACACUGACGCUGAGGUGCGAAAGCGUGGGUAGCAAACAGGAUUAGAUACCCGGGUAGUC
This 465-nucleotide ribosomal RNA is filed under the name Vreelandella stevensii. Its description in RNAcentral is "partial 16S ribosomal RNA". It matches the Rfam family "Bacterial small subunit ribosomal RNA", at positions 338 to 795 of the family's 1533-position model. The record is from RNAcentral. Lineage: Bacteria; Pseudomonadati; Pseudomonadota; Gammaproteobacteria; Oceanospirillales; Halomonadaceae.